Molecule: ribosomal RNA, 448 nt
Filed under: uncultured bacterium
Lineage: Bacteria
Description: bacterial SSU rRNA
Rfam family: Bacterial small subunit ribosomal RNA
Source: RNAcentral
ACCAGACUCCUACGGGAGGCAGCAGUAAGGGAUAUUGGUCAAUGGGGGAAACCCUGAACCAGCAACGCCGCGUGAGGGAAGACGGUUUUCGGAUUGUAAACCUCUGUCCUCUGUGAAGAUGAUGACGGUAGCAGAGGAGGAAGCCCCGGCUAACUACGUGCCAGCAGCCGCGGUAAUACGUAGGGGGCGAGCGUUAUCCGGAUUCACUGGGUGUAAAGGGAGCGUAGACGGCCAUGCAAGCCAGGGGUGAAAGCCCGGGGCCCAACCCCGGGACUGCCCUUGGAACUGCAUGGCUGGAGUGCGGGAGGGGCAGGCGGAAUUCCUGGUGUAGCGGUGAAAUGCGUAAAUAUCAGGAGGAACACCGGCGGCGAAGGCGGCCUGCUGGACCGCGACUGACGUUGAGGCUCGAAAGCGUGGGGAGCAAACAGGAUUAGAUACCCGCGUAACA